RNAcentral lists this ribosomal RNA (1545 nucleotides) under Simkania negevensis. RNAcentral describes it as "16S ribosomal RNA". It matches the Rfam family "Bacterial small subunit ribosomal RNA". The record is from RNAcentral. Lineage: Bacteria; Pseudomonadati; Chlamydiota; Chlamydiia; Parachlamydiales; Simkaniaceae.
AGAGUUUGAUCCUGGCUCAGAUUGAAUGCUGACGGCGUGGAUGAGGCAUGCGAGUCGAACGAAGUAGUAACUUGUUACUACUUAGUGGCGAAAGGGUUAGUAAUACAUGAGUAACUUACCUCUUACCUGGGGAUAACGGUUGGAAACGACCGCUAAUACCGAAUGAGGAGAGCUGGGGUAGCCUGGUUUCUUCAAAGUUGGGGAUUCUGCAAAGAACCUUGCGGUAGGAGAGAGGCUCAUGGGAUAUCAGCUUGUUGGUGUGGUAAAGGCGCACCAAGGCUAAGACGUCUAGGCGGGCUGAGAGGUUGACCGCCAACACUGGGACUGAGACACUGCCCAGACUCCUACGGGAGGCUGCAGUCGAGAAUCAUUCGCAAUGGGCGAAACGUGACGAUGCGACGCCGUGUGAACGAUGAAGGCCUUCGGGUUGUAAAGUUCUUUCGCUAAGGAACAAGAAAAGGUAACGAAUAAUUGCCUAAUUUGAGGGUACUUGGUAAAGAAGCACCGGCUAACUCCGUGCCAGCAGCUGCGGUAAUACGGAGGGUGCAAGCAUUAAUCGGAUUUACUGGGUGUAAAGGGCGCGUAGGCGGGUAAGCAAGUCAGAUGUGAAAUUCCGGAGCUCAACUCCGGAGCUGCAUUUGAAACUACUUAUCUUGAGGGUGGACGGAGAAAACGGAAUUCCACGUGUAGCGGUGAAAUGCGUAGAUAUGUAGAAGAACACCGGUGGCGAAGGCGGUUUUCUAGUUCUUUCCUGACGCUGAGGCGCGAGAGCAAGGGGAGCAAACAGGGUUAGAUACCCUGGUAGUCCUUGCUGUAAACACUGCAUACUUGGUGUAGUCGGUCUCAACCCCGACUGUGCCGUACGUAACGCGUUAAGUAUGCCACCUGGGGAGUACGCUCGCAAGGGUGAAACUCAAAAGAAUUGACGGGGGCCCGCACAAGCAGUGCAGCAUGUGGUUUAAUUCGAUGCAACACGAAGAACCUUACCCAGGCUUGACAUUUAGAGGACCGCAUCAGAGAUGAUGUUUGCCGCAAGGCCUUCUUGACAGGUGCUGCAUGGCUGUCGUCAGCUCGUGCCGUGAGGUGUUGGGUUAAGUCCCGCAACGAGCGCAACCCUUGUCGCUAGUUACCAGCACGUAAUGGUGGGGACUCUAGCGAGACUGCCAUGGUUAACUAGGAGGAAGGUGAGGAUGACGUCAAGUCCGCAUGGCCUUUAUGUCUGGGGCUCGACACGUGCUACAAUGGUCGGUACAGAAGGCAGCGAAGCCGAAAGGUGAAGCAAAUCCCAAAAGCUCGAUCCAGUUCGGAUUGAAGUCUGCAACUCGACUUCAUGAAGUUGGAAUUGCUAGUAAUGACGUGUCAGCAAUAACGUCGUGAAUACGUUCCCGGGCCUUGUACACGCCGCCCGUCACAUCAUGGAAGUUGGUUUUACCCGAAGUCGUCGACUCAACCGCAAGGAGAGAGACGCCGAAGGUAGGGCUGAUGACUGGGAUGAAGUCGUAACAAGGUAGCCGUACCGGAAGGUGCGGCUGGAUCACCUCCUUU